CUUUCGGACGCAGCGAACAAGCGCAUUAAGUUUCGGUAAAAAGACGCCGCGUGUGUUUGUUGAAUAGCAAGAAAAGAAAGAAAAAAGAAGUAAUACAGAUAUUGCAGAAGCAAUUUGCUGCCGCCACCUCAACCUAACACACGGCAGCAGUGAUAACAAGAUAAAUAAAAUGCAGUAAAAGUUGAGGCAGAAACGUGACAAAUGGAAAUAAAUAUAUAAUAAAUAUUAUUCAAUUAUUCGUGUGUGUGUGAGUGUGUGUGUGCGCCGCGUAAAAAAAACCAAAAAAUCAGCAGUCGCCGCAACAACAACAAAAACCAACAGUUAAAUUUGUCGACUGUGCUGCAACUUUAGUCAACGUCUCCUUAUCGUCCUCGUCGUGCUUCGCGUACUCUUGUAAUUUAAAUAACAAAAAAAAAAAAAUAUCAAAAAAUGCAAUUGCCGCCGCAUUGAGUAUUUUUCUCUCUCCUCUCCUUACUUUAUGGCCGUUGCUUAGCGUCUCUGUCGCCGUCAUCGUCACCGUCACCGUCACCGCCGUCGUUGUCCCCGCAAACACACACGCACACUCAUACCAAUGCGGAAGAGGAGCUGUCGCCAUCAGUAGCUGUCCCCACCAUUGUUGCCACACUGUCGCUGCCACUUACGCUGCCGCCGCUCUUUAAAUGCAAUUUCAAUAAUUUUGCAUUUUUUAAGUUACGCCAACAACAACCACAACAACCAGCAAUUCGCUUAAAUUGAGAAAUUGUAGUGCAACAAAAAAAAAAAAAAAAUUCAUGUUAGAAAAAAAUUAAAGUGUUUAACAGCCUUGAGCAAUUUUUAAUUUGUGCUAACUUCUUAGUAAAUAAAAUCGAAAGCGUGCAGCAACAGCAACAACAUAAAUACCAACAACAAAUGAAAGCAAAUCAAAUGGCCAACUAUUGAAUGGCGGCCAUUAGUGGCCUCAAGCGACACCCAUUGAGCAAUCAGCAUCAUUUCUACCACAAGUCAUCAACAACAGCAACAGCACAACCAACACCACCGCCAACAACAAUAAUUUAACAGUAGCAACAACUACCACAGCUAGCACAACUAAAACAACAACGACAACAACAACUGCAGCAUCAAAAUUGCUUAAGAAUUCGAGCAGACGCUGUCAACAAAUUCUUUAGAGAGUGCACCGAAGAGAUCAAUGAGCGUUUCGAUGUCUCUGGUACAGGGUGGAGCUGCCGGUGGUGCGCCACAGGGUGCCAGCGCUAUUUUGGCCGCUGCCGCACCAUAUUAUCAACCGCCAGCGGUGCCGCAGGAUGUUCAACCGGAUCGUCCAAUUGGUUAUGGUGCAUUUGGAGUUGUCUGGGCUGUGACAGAUCCACGAGAUGGACGACGCGUUGCACUGAAAAAGCUACCGAAUGUGUUUCAAUCGUUGGUCUCAUCGAAACGCGUUUUUCGCGAACUGAAAAUGCUUUGCUUUUUCAAGCAUGAAAACGUGCUAUCGGCUUUGGAUAUUUUACAGCCGCCACAUUUGGACUUUUUUCAGGAAAUCUAUGUGAUAACUGAACUGCUACAAUCGGAUCUCCACAAAAUAAUCGUCUCGCCGCAACAUCUCUCCGCCGAUCACAUUAAGGUCUUUCUCUAUCAGAUACUGCGCGGCCUCAAGUAUCUGCACUCGGCACGCAUUCUGCAUCGCGACAUCAAGCCCGGCAAUCUGCUCGUCAACUCGAAUUGUGUGCUCAAAAUCUGUGACUUCGGACUGGCCCGUGUCGAGGAACCCGAUCAGGCCAAACACAUGACCCAAGAGGUGGUCACACAAUAUUAUCGUGCGCCCGAAAUUCUGAUGGGGGCGCGUCAUUAUUCUUCAGCGGUAGAUGUGUGGUCGGUGGGUUGCAUAUUUGGCGAACUGCUCGGCCGUCGCAUUCUGUUCCAGGCACAGAAUCCCGUACAACAGCUGGAGCUGAUCACAGAGCUACUCGGCACGCCCACCAUGGAGGAUAUGCGACACGCCUGCGAGGGCGCCCGCACACACAUGCUGCGUCGUGCCCCCAAGCCGCCAUCCUUCUCAGUGCUCUACACGCUCAGCUCACACGCCACACACGAGGCGGUGCAUCUGCUCUGUCAAAUGUUGGUCUUCGAUCCGGACAAGCGCAUUUCAGUCACCGAUGCCCUGGCGCAUCCCUACCUCGACGAGGGCCGUCUGCGCUAUCACUCGUGCAUGUGCAAGUGCUGCUUCACUACCUCGGCUGGCAUGCGUCAGUAUACGGCGGACUUUGAGCCGUCGGCCGGUCAGCCCUUCGAUGAUUUGUGGGAGCGCAAGCUGACCUCAGUGCAGCAGGUGAAAGAGGAGAUGCACAAAUUUAUUGCCGAGCAACUGCAAACGGGUCGAGUACCGUUGUGCAUCAAUCCACAGAGUGCGGCGUUUAAGAGCUUUGCCAGCCAAUGAGAAUGAGAAUAUCUACUACUACUACCACUACUACUACUACCACAACUUGCACUGCUGCUCCUGCCGCUGUCGCUGUCGCUGCUCUGUCGCAGUUGCAGUCGCAGUCACAGUUGCGUGUCGCGUCAACGUCGUCCUCAAGGUUGCAGUCGCAGUAUCGGUCGCUGCCCAAGCCGCUGCCGCCGCUUUGCCGCAGAGACCCAACCUGCCUAGGCGCGCGCUCUCUUAAAAAGAAAACUUGUAAAGCAUAAGAAAACGAAACUCUCAAGAGUGUCUCUCUCUCUCAGAGACAGAAUGAAGCCCCACAUAAGCCAGAAGUCACAAACUGCCAAGAAACAAGAACCAAGUACCAAGAUCAUGGGGGCGUGGCUGGGGGCCACCUCAACAGCAGCUCCGCUCGCGCGCUCUCUCGCCUUAGCUCCACUGUGGCACAUCCUUCGGAGCUGCCGCCCUCACCGCACCAAUGGGAAUGACGGCAAAAUGAGGCGAUUGCUGCCUAAAAUAUGAAAAGCAAAACAACCAAGAGCCCAAAAUGAACACAAAACUAACUGUAAACGGAGGAGAGAACGUGAGAGAGGAACUUCAAUAUAUGUAUAAGAAAGAAAGUUCGCGCGCCAACCAAAAACAAAAACAAAGGACAACUUAAAAGCUACGUAUUUGACGACAGUCCGGAAAGAGAACGAAAAGAAAGAGAGAGAGAAAGAGCAGCAGAAGCAACUACAGCAACACAACAUAAUUAGUCUUAAGUUUAGUAAAGAGCAAGAGAGAGAGAGAGAGAGAGAGGAGCAGCAACUCAAGAAACAACGAUUCGAUUUAAAAAGAAACUUAAAGCGUCGUCUACAGAGGUGCGCUUUCAAAAGUCUGUUAGGAAAAAGAGAAAAGCAAAAGCAAAUGCAUUCCACCACCGAAAAUCAAGCAAAUACAUAAAAUGAUGUAUGAAAUAGGCAUAAAAUAACAACAAUACCAACAAACAAACAAACACACCACACACACAAACAAACAAAAUGUAACGUAACUCAACUCAAACUAGUCUAAAAACGAAAGUAGUUUAAAGAGAAGAGAACCGAAGAGAACCACGUGGAAAGGAGAGAAGAGGAGACGAGGUAGAGGCAGCAACAAUAACAGAAUAGAUCGAUGGAAUGAGGAUGCAAGAGAACAAGAAAAACAAAACUAAAGAGACUACGCAUAAAUAUUGUGAGCGUAGCAAGAAAAUUAAACAAAAUUAAACAUUUAACAUUUUCGGCAACAAAGCAAAAUUUGUUGUGCUUGACAAAAACAUAAAAGAUAACGAAACGAACCAUAAUAAAAUAAAAAUUAAACAAA
RNA transcript from Scaptodrosophila lebanonensis, 3730 nucleotides. It is a transcript of the gene named serine/threonine-protein kinase NLK, with no coding region annotated. NCBI's taxonomy places the organism in Eukaryota, Metazoa, Arthropoda, Insecta, Diptera, Drosophilidae. The record is from RefSeq and is a predicted model, not a curated record. The transcript has 9 exons.